AGUGAACGCUGGCGGUAGGCCUAACACAUGCAAGUCGAACGGCAGCACAGUAAGAGCUUGCUCUUACGGGUGGCGAGUGGCGGACGGGUGAGGAAUACAUCGGAAUCUACUUUUUCGUGGGGGAUAACGUAGGGAAACUUACGCUAAUACCGCAUACGACCUACGGGUGAAAGCAGGGGAUCUUCGGACCUUGCGCGAUCGAAUGAGCCGAUGUCGGAUUAGCUAGUUGGCGGGGUGAAGGCCCACCAAGGCGACGAUCCGUAGCUGGUCUGAGAGGAUGAUCAGCCACACUGGAACUGAGACACGGUCCAGACUCCUACGGGAGGCAGCAGUGGGGAAUAUUGGACAAUGGGCGCAAGCCUGAUCCAGCCAUACCGCGUGGGUGAAGAAGGCCUUCGGGUUGUAAAGCCCUUUUGUUGGGAAAGAAAAGCAGCAGGUUAAUACCCCGCUGUUCUGACGGUACCCAAAGAAUAAGCACCGGCUAACUUCGUG
RNAcentral lists this ribosomal RNA (492 nucleotides) under uncultured bacterium. Its description in RNAcentral is "partial 16S ribosomal RNA". It matches the Rfam family "Bacterial small subunit ribosomal RNA", at positions 29 to 507 of the family's 1533-position model. The record is from RNAcentral.